GUAGACAUCACUAAAUAAAAGUGUAGACAUCACCAAAUAAAAGUGUAGACAUCACUAAAUAAAAACAAUAUACAUCACCAAUAUCUUACCAACAAUGAACAUUUGGGUUAGAGAACUCCCCCCCCCCCUCCCGCUCAUUUCAAACCAGCUUUACGACUAUCAUUUCUUGUUUACGACAACGGCGUUGUAUCGUGCCAUUCAUGGAGUCUCGGUCUGUCCCAUUGUCGCUAGCAGCGGGCGAUGACGUGGGAGAGGGAGGAGGAGCAUCACGUGGCCAGAGAAGUGCACAUCAGUCCUGGCAGAGGCAGUCAGGGGUGACCAACAAAAAAUAUGCUUACUGGAAACGCAGGUGACGAAAUCAGUGGACAUGUGACGACAGAGCAUGAUGACAGACAAGAUCAACAUUUAAUUAUUCGUCUCCAGUCAAGGCAUAUUAGAAUGAGACAACACAAGUUCCGGAAGAUUAAAAGUUGAACCAUGUCACAAGAGAAGUGCUGACAAUGUCCCUCAAAGCUGCUAAGAAGCCUAAUCUGGAUACCAUGCAUUCCGUAGGAAGAGCAACUGUAUGGAUCAUCCACAGCUUAGUUCAUCUCAGAUAUAAACCUAGGACUAACCCUAACCAUAUCUAGACAAUCCAACUUCAUAAGGAAAACUCAAAGUAGUAAAGAUUUUGAUUGCACAGUUGUUUAUUUCCUACUACUUCUGUGUGUUUUUAUUUUUGUCGGUGUUUUGUUUUUGAUGUAGGCUUAGUAUUUAUUUAGCGUCAAGUACAGUGUCUCCACAGUCUAGCUGCGAAACUUGAAUUCAUUUGUUUGAAAGUAUUGAAUUUCAUCAAGACCCGGGUUAAAGUUACACUAAAAGUGCAUGUGUUGUUUGAAAUAAAUAUAUUUUGCAUAACAAAUAUAUAGUAGAACAUACUGAUUAAAUAUACAAUUAGGACCGGCCUUAGGUAAUUGGAGGCCCAAGACAAAGCGAAUAGGGAGGGAGUAAUUAUGUUGUAGAUUCCAAUUGUAUUCAUUAGUUGUUUGUAAGGGAGGCUUACUGAUGAAUUCUGUCAAAAAGCUUAGCCCAUUCAGUCAUCUGUUGAGUGAUUCCGGCAUGACUUAAAAAAUUCACAAUCUCAAAGUGACUGCAACACAAUCAUGAACACAUACACAAGAUCCCAAGUACACAGUAAAUGAAAGUGAUACAUUUGGGAGGCCAUUACGCUUAUUCAAUUAGGAACGAGAGAGAAAGAAAGAAAAAGAUAGAAAGAAAGAAAGAAAGAGAGAGAGAGAGCAAUCGAGAGAAUAAAGUUGCAAGAAAAAGGAGAGUUUAAAAAAACAAAGACUGAAAUUUGCUUGGGAUGAAUUGAAAUUGUGAGUAAUUUGUCUGUGUGUGUGUGUGUGUGUGUGUCACAGUCACAAUAAAACAUUUCUAUGUUUAUAAUGUGUGUGUGUGUGUGUGUGCGUGUGUGAUGUUGACACCUAUGCUGAAUUUUUCUUCCAGUGACUUCCAUUCGUUAUUUCCAUUACAUUGACCUGGGCAUUUAUUUACAUCUACCACGUGAUAGGCAUGAAAUGUAAGUCAGUUUGUAGGCCCUACAUGAAUGAUACCACGACACACACAACCCCAUCCAUUUACUUCCCCCCCCCC
Biomphalaria glabrata is the source of this 1635-nucleotide long non-coding RNA. RefSeq lists it as uncharacterized. The record is from RefSeq and is a predicted model, not a curated record. Lineage: Eukaryota; Metazoa; Mollusca; Gastropoda; Planorbidae. The transcript is spliced from 2 exons.